RNAcentral lists this ribosomal RNA (253 nucleotides) under uncultured bacterium. RNAcentral's name for it is "partial 16S ribosomal RNA". It matches the Rfam family "Bacterial small subunit ribosomal RNA", at positions 524 to 776 of the family's 1533-position model. The record is from RNAcentral.
UACGUAGGGUGCGAGCGUUAAUCGGAAUUACUGGGCGUAAAGCGUGCGCAGGCGGCUUUGCAAGACAGAUGUGAAAUCCCCGGGCUCAACCUGGGAACUGCAUUUGUGACUGCAAGGCUAGAGUACGGCAGAGGGGGAUGGAAUUCCGCGAGUAGCAGUGAAAUGCGUAGAUAUGCGGAGGAACACCAAUGGCGAAGGCAAUCCCCUGGGCCUGUACUGACGCUCAUGCACGAAAGCGUGGGGAGCAAACAGG